Molecule: RNA transcript, 4819 nt
Organism: Eurytemora carolleeae
Lineage: Eukaryota; Metazoa; Arthropoda; Copepoda; Calanoida; Temoridae
Exons: 16
Source: RefSeq, a predicted model, not a curated record
CCAGGGCGGAAAUAGGGGAAAGAAAAACCGAGAAAAAAUGGACUAGAAGAAUAAUGGAGGAGGAGAGAAAGUUUAGGGCGGCUUUAAAUGUCAUCCAACGUCUUCCGAAAAGCGGUUCGUUUCAACCCUCGAACGAGAUGAAACUUGGUUUCUACGCGCAUUUCAAGCAGGCGACACGUGGACCAUGUACACAGGCGCGGCCGGGUUUCUGGGAUCCAGUUGGACGAGCUAAACAUGACGCCUGGGCCCGCCUAGGCAACAUGUCAACUCAGGACGCUAUGCAAGGUUAUGUUGAUCUUCUAACACAGAUAAUUGAGACAAUCAACUUCUCUGCUGAUGUUCAAGAGUUUAUAGAGGUACUUGGCCCGUUUUAUGAGUUUGUCGAGGAUAAACUAACUCCGGACCGAAAAGUGGACCCGGAGGUACUCCAGAAUCCUUCCCCCGUAGUGGGUUCCACAAUCUCCAUGGAAACCUCGGAAUGCUCUGAACCCGAGAUGAAUUCUAGUAUUGGAGACAUGCUUGGUCAGUUUGAUAUUCCAGAGGGAUUUAAUUUUAAUCGUGUUGAACCAGACACAGAGUUUAUCAAUGGAAUUCAGGGAAUCAUAAACCAGGGACAGCGUGAAGCUGGAACAUUCUCACAGAAUCUGGCGUGCGAGGAAAAAUUGGCGUCAAAUUUUGCCGCCGGUUUAGAUCAGAAUCAUAAUUCAUUCUUGACCCAGGAGGAGGAUCGGUUUCUAGAUGAGCUACGAGGACUAGAGGGGAGCUUACAGUCUAGUAUUCAUAUGAUGAGAGAUAUCAAGAGCACAGCUGAUCCUUCUUUAACCUCGAGAACAGCAGCCUCUGAUCCUGUUGCAACCUCCGUCUCAAGAACAGCAGCCUCGGCUCCUAAGAUAUCCUCAGAAGUCGGUUAUAGUGAAUUAUCCCAACAAGAAAUCGAUAGGAUGUUGGAUAGGUUUGAUGGUUUUAUCGGUUCAGACUCAGGGUCUACUCAAACAGACAAGGAGGUUCAGUUAUCAGGGUCUAUUAAAACAUUGGUGGGGGGUGAAUCUGUUCAGAAAAUUACCACAACAGCAGGAGAGGAAGGUUCAGACUCGGAUUCGGAGGAUAUUUUUGAGGAUUCUGUAGAGUCAACCGCGGCAUUAGAGGCGACUACUGCGCGCUGCACUGAUACAUAUACAAGAAGUGUACAUAGUAAUGAUGAAAUUAAGAUUGAGGGGAGUGUGAGGAAGGGCUACGAGUUCGGGAAGGGUAGUGAAGGUCACGUGAAGGGAAGUGAGGGUCACGUGAAAGGAAGUGAAAAUCACGUGAUCCCUGAGAUAAAAAUCACCUCCGAGUAUAUUUACAGUGAGGGAUUCCUCAACAGUCUGGUCGGGUCUCCAGAGUCAUUUAACAAAUUCAGGAGUGGGAGCUCUGAGAAGGUAGUGUCGGUGUCCCUGAAGGACGAGUUGGACGAGGACGAGAUCCUCGUCAUUAACUCCGAACCAAGGGAGGAGGAGUCUCCAGUCCGGAGGAGCGAGACGGAAACAGACAGGUUCCUGGAGGGUAUAGUGGAUCAUCUGAACCAUGAGCUAGAGAGGGUCAACACAAACCUUGGUCAUAUGAUCACAGGGUUGGAUCACGUGACUGCACGUGUCUCUGGGUUAGAAUUGAACAUGGCGCAGAUGACAAAUCGUCUCAACACUAUCGAGUACCUACUCCAGAUGGUUGUGACCCGUGAGAGUGGUUGGUUUGACCGCAAAGCUAGUCUUACCCUUCCGAUUCUUGCCUGCGCUGCAGUCCUCAUAGCCAGGGUUUUUUAUGAGCGAAGAAGAUUGUGAAAAUUUUUGUUUUUGGUUCCUUCUCUGUUCCUUGUAGAUGAGUAUGUUACAGUGGGAAUCAUAAAACUGUGGAGUAAGAAGACGAAGUUUAGACGCAGGCUAUUUUUUAAAUAGUUCAACAAACAUGAAACACAGCAAAUGUGCAGUGUACACAGAUCAAUUUCACCUAAUUAGUCAAGCUACUACAGUUCGUCCCAUAUCAUAAUAGAUUAUCUCCAAGCUUAGACGUCAAAAUAAACACAUAUUACAAAAAAAUCUAGCAUUUUUUGCAAGAAAAUUGUUAUUUUAGCCUUAUUUAGUUUUGUUUCCCCCGAAAAUGGUAAUUUAGACCCAUUGACGGUCAAAUAUCAUGUGGGACACUCUGUAGUUUAAAAUUUGCUUUACCUGCAAAUACACACAAUGCAAUAAUACUAUUUUUAAUAAGAAUUGUUUUGGGACCAUACUGUGUACAAUAUAGUAGUAGUACUAGUAGUAUAAUGAUUUAUACUGCAAUUCUUAGAAAUAUUGCAGUUAAUAUCAUUAUUAUUAUCAUUAUUAUGUAAUAGAUAUCUACCUGGUUGUAUGUAUAUCCAUUCAUUAAUUACAAGGUUACCAUUAUGUAACAUAUAUGUAAUUAGGGGGCAUUUUCCCUUCACAAUUAUUUAUAAGAAACUUUAAUCAAAACAAAUGUAAUUGUGAAAUAAAAAAAAGUAUUUUUUGCAGAUGAAAAUUUUUAAUUCAAAUAUUGAUUUUCUUGACUUUUCUUAAAAAAAAAAAAAAAAAUUUUUAUGUUGUUAACAAUGACACUGAAAAACUGUCACAGAUUUUAUUUUGUUUUAUUGUUAUGACUUAGAUUUUAUUAUAGCGUUAUGUAUAUGUUUUGUUAUCGUUUGUUACAUGUUGUGAUUUUCUGUAUUUUGAUUAUUAUGAUUAUUAUUAUUAUGUGAUUUUUGGUCAACUGGAAAUUAUUGAUCUCAUCUGAUUUUGUCAAUUUAUACAUUUAAAAAGUUGAUUUUUAGUUUGUUAAAUAGUUCAAAAGAACUUAUUACUCGUCUCAAAUUCUGAACAUUCUAAGCUUCAUAUCUUUGCAACCUUUAAUCGUGUACUUUUGAUAUUUUAAAAUUUGUAUUUUGUCAGAUCAAAUAGUCAAAGUUUAAAUUUUACACUUUAAGAUUGAAAAGAUAUUGGGGUGAACAAAAUAAGCGUUUUUGCAAGUAACCAGUUUUUUUUAAAGUUCAAAGUACUUAAAGUGACUGUAAGUUUAAUUUCAAGUAACCCUCUUUGCAAAGAUGGCAAUGUCCGAUUUUCACCGGUACCCUGGAAAACCCUAAUCUGAUAAUAAAUGUGAAAAACCGUAGUUUUUCUGACUCGAAAUGUGUUUUUUUCUUGUGUGAGUUUCUCCAAUUUCCAUUGCCUCUCAUAAACAAGAAAUGCGCCAGUAACUUUCGUAGAGAAACCGCAACUGAAAAUAAACAGAUUAAAGAAACAAAAACAUUGAUAUAUAAUUCAUACUUGAUCAGACAAUGCUUUCAAGGGAACCGUUGAAAAUCGGGCAUUUUCAUCAAGUUGCCACUUGAAAUUACGUUGACAGUCCCUUUAAAAUCAGUUUAGUGUUUUCACAAGUUUUAAUCCACCAGCUUUCUUGUAAUUGUAUGAACAGGGGUAUAUAUCUAUGUUUAUAUAUAUAAAUUUGUUGAAAAGGGUUUUAUAUGGAAUAACCUCUUUAAAAUUCAAACGUUAAUAUUUUUUAGUCGGAAUUAAUUCCAGUCCAAGAAGCUUGAAAACCGCGUGCGCGCCGAUUUAGAAAAUAAUUUUCGAUUCAAAAGUUCUAGUCUACUUUAGAAAAUACCAUUUGUUUUUAAAUCAAAACAUGGAUUGAAUGUACAUAUACUUACUUAGUACUUACCCCUGUUUUAAAAUGAAGCACUGUGAUAGUACCAAUGUUAGUUCUAGACCGUUUCACUAAAUAAUAAUUGUAUCUGUAGAUAUGUGACCGAUUCACUAAAUAAUAUUUGAAUCUGUAGAUAUGUUUCGACAAUGGAAAUUUCAAAGGUUAAAACUAAAAAUGUCUUUUCAAUGUUAUUUUUCUUUAAGUCUUUUGGCGCUUAGUUGGCUCCUAUGGCAAUCUUGUUUUUGUUCAAUAGUGCUAAAUUAUGACUUAAACAUUUUUUAUUGCGGAAAACUUAAAACCAGAAAAAAAUAAAACGUUACAAACUUGUGAAUUGGGCAUUGUGCACUAUAGUCUGAAAAUUAUCCUUAUAUUAAUCUCACCUAGUCAUGUAAACUUCCAAAUAAUUCGAUGGUUCACAUUGUACUUUUUGUAAAAAACACUGUGCUGGAUUGUUAUAUUGUUGUGUAAACAGUGGACUCUAUGUACUGGUGCAAUGUAUGAUAGCUGUAGUACACUAUAGAAGGUUAUUUUACAUUGUACUCAAUGAGUAAAAAUAUGUUCUGGUUACUGUAUGUUGUUUACAAUUAGGCUGGUAAAAGUUCUGUGAACGAACCGGUGUAUCUAAAUUAACAAAUUAACGGACAUUUUUCGUUAACGAGCUGAACCAGUUGUAACCAAUAGUUUUUUAACGAACAGUUAACACAGUUACUUUAACUUUAAACAAACGGAUUGAAAAAACGUGACCAGCCCUAUGUAAAGUAACUAUACUGUACUGUGUUAUACAGAGUAUACCAUAUCAUAUUGGAUUUUUUCCAAGGGUUAACGCCAAAUUACGCACAUAAUUUUUGAAAAACCUAUUAUUUUCUGCAAGGGAAUUAGCCUUAUGCAAUUUUUCAAUUCAUUUUUCUUAGAUUUUCUGACGUAAAUCGUAAUUUAGAGCCAUUAACGAUCCAUUAUGAUGUGGGACACCCUGUAUAUUCUGAAAAAUUGUGAUUUGAUUGAUACUUGAUAGAUAUUUGAUACAGCGUAGAUAGAUUUGUAAUUGUAAAGCGAAAACUAUGUACAAUGUACAUAGUUUCAUAUAUUAAUGUACUUGUUAGCUGUUUCACUGUUAGCUAGGGAUAAUUGUGAG